This 36-nucleotide non-coding RNA is filed under the name Mus musculus (house mouse). The record is from RNAcentral. Lineage: Eukaryota; Metazoa; Chordata; Mammalia; Rodentia; Muridae.
UUAGUGAUCAAGGGGGAAAGGCCCCUUGUGGGUGGG